CAGGGGCCCAACGUUGACUGAUUCACUGGCUCUGUUCAAGAGGAGCCCGUCUGCACGCGUGAAGUUUGCCGCCGCUUUUAUAGAGAGCGGCGCAGACGUCGAGGAAGAGAAGCGAUGCGCCGAGCUGCUUGUGAGCGGACUGGACGACCCCUCGAGGUCCGUGGUUUCCAGCUCCCUGGGCGAGCUCAGGCAGGUGAUGCCACGUCUGGCACACCCGGCAACGCUGGAGUGCGUGGCCGAGGGAACGUUCCGGUUCCUCUGUCACUCCCGGUGGGUCAGGCAGAGCCGGCUCCUCGCUGUCGCGCUGGAGUGCUUUGGGAUGGCCCUGGCGGGAACAG
This is a long non-coding RNA of Ixodes scapularis (black-legged tick), 338 nucleotides long. RefSeq lists it as uncharacterized. The record is from RefSeq and is a predicted model, not a curated record. Lineage: Eukaryota; Metazoa; Arthropoda; Arachnida; Ixodida; Ixodidae. The transcript has 3 exons.